AUGGCGCUCUGCCUCUCGAACCCUCCUCCCUCCUCCAAGAUCGCACUCAAAGCUCCAGUACCGCCACUCCCGAACCGCUCGUUUCUCUUCCCGCCACCGCGCCUGCCUGCUCUCCAAGUUGCCCUCCUCCGCGGUCCGCCGCCGGGGCGCGUCCAGUCGUCGUCGGCACCGUCGGCCCCGCCGACGGACGGCUUCCCGACGCCACCAUCGUCGAGGGAGGAGGCGGUCGCGCAGGCCAGGUCGUGCCUGGCCACGGCGCUGCGCAAGCCGCUCAACAACUCGCUCCCGGCGCGGAAGCUCAAGAAGCAGCAGCGGCAGCCCCGGUUCCGCGCCGAGAUCCCCGUGGUCGACGACUCGCCGGGCUCCCUCGCGCGCCUCGCCUUCGACGUCUUCUCGGGCCUCGGCGUGUCCCGGAAGGGCUCGCCGGCGAGGCUGCUCCUCGUGUGGCCCUCCGCGGAGGACCUGGCGGUGGCCGUGCGCGAGUUCAAGAACUGGGGGGACACGUCGGCGCUGGCGCACGCGCAGCUGGACUCGGUGGCGCCGGACGCGCUGAGCGCCUGCGACGCCGCCGUGUUCCUGUCGCCGGGCCGGUCGCAGGUGGAGAAGCUGCGCGCGGCCGUCAACGCGCUGGACCCCAGGCCGGCGGUGCUGUUCAACCCAGGGUGGAGCUACGAGGUGGAGGAGGAGGGGUUCGGCGGCAUCGCCAAGGGCUUCGUGGGCUCCUUCAACGUGGUGUACUCCUUCAUGGGGCUGGAGGUGAAGGGGCUGCUGAGCAAGAAAAAGGGGGUGCUGCUCCGGUGCGUGGAGGGCGGCAGGUUCGGCGGGGAGAGCUGGGUGCUCAUGAUGGAGGGCGAGGAGAAGGAGCCGGAGCUGAAGGUGGUGUCGCGGAUGAAGCGGCGGCCGACGGUCGGCGAGGUGGAGAACAUGAUGUACAACCUCAUGGCCGCCAACUCGCCGGUGACCAAGUCCGCCAGGUUCCUCAGGGAGCUCGUGUCCAACGUGACGGGAAGGAAGGGGAAGCAGUGA
Molecule: ribosomal RNA, 1026 nt
Filed under: Triticum aestivum (bread wheat)
Lineage: Eukaryota; Viridiplantae; Streptophyta; Magnoliopsida; Poales; Poaceae
Description: partial small subunit ribosomal RNA
Source: RNAcentral